This 519-nucleotide ribosomal RNA is filed under the name Triticum aestivum (bread wheat). RNAcentral's name for it is "partial small subunit ribosomal RNA". The record is from RNAcentral. Lineage: Eukaryota; Viridiplantae; Streptophyta; Magnoliopsida; Poales; Poaceae.
AUGUUUAUGAACCUUUGUUCCAUUGCAUCAUUGGCUGCAUGGAACAAGGAGUUCUGCUCCUAUCUUCCUAAAAAGGGGAUACAGCUAAGUGGAAACCGAUGGGUUUGCUUACCCAGGGUGUCCAACUGUCGGAUCAGCCGGACAAGAUCUCGUGGCUUUGGACAGCUGAUGGCUCUUACACGGCGGCAUCUGCGUACAAGAUUCAGUUCAUGGGAAGUACAUCCUCAAACCUGGAGGAGCUCAUCUGGAAAACUCCAGUACCGGCAAAGCAGAAGCUCUCGGCUUGGAUGUGUAUUUCAAGAUCGCUGUCUGACAGCGGAUAAGCUCGCCAAGAGGGGCUGGCAGCAUAAAUGGUCUGCGGCGAUUACCCUGGUUUGUUGGUUCAUUUGGACUGUGCGGAUCUUUGAUGGGGUGGCCUGCAGCGCUGCUCGGGUAAUGUGCGAGAGUGAGGAAGAACUGUCGGAAUGGGGAAGCGCCCGGAUCAGCGGUGCGCUAUUACUGUCGCAUAUUCAUCCAUGA